GUGAGGUCAGUAUUAUCAAAUUGAAUUACAUGGUACAUGUAAAUUUUGGUUGGCUUAAAGGUUCAGGGUUUCAUUGUUGAUUAUUGGUUUAUGUUUAUAUUUCUUUGGAGAAUAGUGCUGAGGUUGAAAAAGGUUAAAAUAAUUGACAAAUACAAUAAUAGACCAAGAAACAAUAUCAAACACAGGAAAUUAGUGCUAGUAAUGUAGAAUAGAGAGGAGAGGUAAAUGACUGAUUCUUAGUAAUCUCGGUUAUUCCUCUGUGUCUAGCAGCGGGACGACCGCUGAUGCAAAA
Macadamia integrifolia is the source of this 292-nucleotide long non-coding RNA. RefSeq lists it as uncharacterized. The record is from RefSeq and is a predicted model, not a curated record. NCBI's taxonomy places the organism in Eukaryota, Viridiplantae, Streptophyta, Magnoliopsida, Proteales, Proteaceae. The transcript has 2 exons.